CCUACGGGGGGCAGCAGUGGGGAAUAUUGGACAAUGGGCGAAAGCCUGAUCCAGCCAUGCCGCGUGUGUGAAGAAGGCCUUCGGGUUGUAAAGCACUUUCAGUGGGGAAGAAAGCCUUGGGGCUAAUACCCUCGAGGAAGGACAUCACCCACAGAAGAAGCACCGGCUAACUCCGUGCCAGCAGCCGCGGUAAUACGGAGGGUGCGAGCGUUAAUCGGAAUUACUGGGCGUAAAGCGCGCGUAGGCGGUCUGAUAAGCCGGUUGUGAAAGCCCCGGGCUCAACCUGGGAACGGCAUCCGGAACUGUCAGGCUAGAGUGCAGGAGAGGAAGGUAGAAUUCCCGGUGUAGCGGUGAAAUGCGUAGAGAUCGGGAGGAAUACCAGUGGCGAAGGCGGCCUUCUGGACUGACACUGACGCUGAGGUGCGAAAGCGUGGGUAGCAAACAGGAUUAGAUACCCCGGUAUUC
This 465-nucleotide ribosomal RNA is filed under the name Vreelandella stevensii. RNAcentral's name for it is "partial 16S ribosomal RNA". It matches the Rfam family "Bacterial small subunit ribosomal RNA", at positions 338 to 795 of the family's 1533-position model. The record is from RNAcentral. Lineage: Bacteria; Pseudomonadati; Pseudomonadota; Gammaproteobacteria; Oceanospirillales; Halomonadaceae.